UCAACAGCAUCUGCACCAAAAUUUAGCUGCUCUUCUGGCCCAGAAGAAAGCAGCUCACAGAAUUCACCACUGACCAAUGAGAGAACUGCAUCAAAAGUUUCCAGGCUGGUGCGUGUGAAAAGAAUACCAUUCAGGCGGACAAAUCGAAUGCAAAAUGAUUUAUAUAUCUCACGGAUAUUAGGUGACCUUUCAUUGACAACAUUGGCUUCCACGUUUGUGUCUUUAACUGCAGGUUUUGCUUCCCCUUUCCCUCUCCCCUUGCUGGUCAAGCGCAUGGAUGAAUCCUUGGCCAUAGAUCCUUUAGCAUCACCAAGCAGUUGAGUGUAACUCUGUCGAUUCUUCUCAAAAGCAACAAUCAAGUUAUCUCUUGCUGUUGUAAAGGGAUUAUCAACAGCCAGACUCCUAAAAUAGUGAUACACUGCCACCAACUCAUCUCCCGAGUAGGAAGCCAAAAUAGCAAGCUGAUGAUGGGGGUUCCCACUUGAUGGCCAUAAGGAUGCAGCUUGUAAAUAGUAACUUGAAGCAGCAGCAUAUUCGCGUGGCUUUGAGUCACCCUCCCCAUAUAGUCCCUUGUACCUUGCAAGGUCACCCAAGUAUAUUAAACAGCGGUGACAGGAGAUCAAACCUUUCUUCAUGUCAGCUGAUUUUUUCGCAUCUUUUUCCAAGACAACUCUAUUAUCU
This 681-nucleotide unclassified non-coding RNA is filed under the name Hevea brasiliensis (rubber tree). Lineage: Eukaryota; Viridiplantae; Streptophyta; Magnoliopsida; Malpighiales; Euphorbiaceae. The record is from RNAcentral.